This 265-nucleotide unclassified non-coding RNA is filed under the name Rhizochaete sp. Its description in RNAcentral is "partial contains 5.8S ribosomal RNA, internal transcribed spacer 2, and large subunit ribosomal RNA". The record is from RNAcentral. Lineage: Eukaryota; Fungi; Basidiomycota; Agaricomycetes; Polyporales; Phanerochaetaceae.
AACGCACAUUGCGCCUCCUGGUAUUCCGGGAGGCAUGCUUGUUUGAACGUCAGAUAGUCCAGUUCAAGCUCUUUUGCUUGGUUGUGGAGGUUGAGCGAUGUCUAUGUGCUCGUUCACCUUUGAAAUUUAUUGGCGUAUGCCUUUGUGUUUUGUUUAGCGUUAUAGGUUAACUCUUUCGCUUGGACUCAUGAAGCUGUGCGGUCAUAAUCACCCCAAUUCCACGUAGGGUUGACUUCAAACAAGUAGGGAUACCCGCUGAACUUAA